AACAAUAUCCAAGCCAGAUGACAAUACUUAAAUGAUAACGUGUCUCAAAUGCUUGAUUUAUCUUAAUGCAAAUAUCUGAACAUAAAGCUUUCUUGCACAAGAUACAAACAUCUGAAGUGGUUUUUUUUGGAGUUUUCCUUGUUUGCACUUUGCACAAGGUAGUAAGGUACACAUAUCUGUAGUUGGUUUCUUUGCAUGAAGUGCAGAGCUUGGCUAGGUCUUUGAUUCUAGAAUCUAGACAGCUUAGUUGGAGCUGAUGUUACUCUUCACUUUGUUGCACAUGUAAAGGUUCAUACAUAAUGGAUCAUAUUCUCCUUCAUUGUACUUAGCUG
This 332-nucleotide long non-coding RNA is filed under the name Panax ginseng (ginseng). Its description in RNAcentral is "long non-coding RNA (PGIN_LNC014681)". The record is from RNAcentral. Lineage: Eukaryota; Viridiplantae; Streptophyta; Magnoliopsida; Apiales; Araliaceae.